Arachis stenosperma is the source of this 245-nucleotide long non-coding RNA. RefSeq lists it as uncharacterized. Lineage: Eukaryota; Viridiplantae; Streptophyta; Magnoliopsida; Fabales; Fabaceae. The record is from RefSeq and is a predicted model, not a curated record. The transcript is spliced from 3 exons.
CAUACCACCAACACCAGGAAGUUGCAUUGGAAGCCUACUCAAGCAGCUUUGACAUCCAGUUUCCACCUUCCUAUGCGUAGCUUUGAGGCUAAGAACAGGACUUCCACAGAUGACGUAAAACGUCUGAGAUUGAUAACUGCCAUUAAGACACCAUACCUACCCGAUGGUCGCUUUGAUCUUGAAGCAUAUGAUACCUUAGUAAAUUUGCAGAUUGAAAAUGGAGUUGAAGGUGUCAUUGUUGGUGG